AGAGUUUGAUCAUGGCUCAGAGCGAACGCUGGCGGCAGGCUUAACACAUGCAAGUCGAGCGGGCGUAGCAAUACGUCAGCGGCAGACGGGUGAGUAACGCGUGGGAACAUACCUUUUGGUUCGGAACAACACAGGGAAACUUGUGCUAAUACCGGAUAAGCCCUUACGGGGAAAGAUUUAUCGCCGAAAGAUUGGCCCGCGUCUGAUUAGCUAGUUGGUGAGGUAAUGGCUCACCAAGGCGACGAUCAGUAGCUGGUCUGAGAGGAUGAUCAGCCACAUUGGGACUGAGACACGGCCCAAACUCCUACGGGAGGCAGCAGUGGGGAAUAUUGGACAAUGGGCGCAAGCCUGAUCCAGCCAUGCCGCGUGAGUGAUGAAGGCCCUAGGGUUGUAAAGCUCUUUUGUGCGGGAAGAUAAUGACGGUCCCGCAAGAAUAAGCCCGGCUAACUCCUGCCAGCAGCCGCGGUA
Molecule: ribosomal RNA, 468 nt
Filed under: uncultured Pseudomonadota bacterium
Lineage: Bacteria; Pseudomonadati; Pseudomonadota
Description: bacterial SSU rRNA
Rfam family: Bacterial small subunit ribosomal RNA
Source: RNAcentral